GAGUGGCAAAAACGGAACGGAGUUGGGGAGGGGAUUCCGACGGGAAUUAGGGGAGCUCUGCUGGACCUGGAAGACUUGAGGGACGGGGUGGCCUUUCUGAACUUAUCCGAAUCUCUUCUCUCUCCUUCUUGGCGGUAUUUGGACCAGCCGAGUCGUCAUUGCUAGAUAAUCAUGUGUGAUCAGCCAGCCAGUGACACCAACAUUAGGGGAACAUUUUUAAUAUGAGUAGUUCUUUUGCGCUCCUGUAUUCUGACGGAACAUAGCGCCUUGUGCGUGGGCAUUGAUGAUGAUCAAGUCCCUGUUCUUCCUUGACAGAAGAGGCAAGUCAAGGAGACUAGGAGCGGUUUAUGGAGUUUACUACUACUGCUGCUACAGCACAUCUGCUAGACGAAUUAGGAGAAUGCAUGGUGUGCCAUCAGAUCUGAUCUGGAGAUGGACGGCUGGUGUUGCCCAGACCAGUUGGAGUGGCCGGGGACAGGGACGCUGUGCCAAAGCUUUUGCUCAUCGCCAGUUCCUAUACUUACUAUAUAUCUAUCUCCCUUGGUCUUUAAGAUAGCUCUGAUAACAACAGCGUUGUCCAUCACCCGGUCAUCUCUUGGACAGCAACAAUACAAUCUCUGACGCCCCGUGCGUAUGUACCUAUCCAUGCAAUAUCUUGCUGCCGACUAAUAGUUGUCACUCCCUUUCUUUUCCCAGACGAUUAUAAAAGAAAACACUAAUGAUGUGAGGUUAACAUGGCCCCAAAAGAUAA
Molecule: long non-coding RNA, 751 nt
Organism: Brachypodium distachyon (stiff brome)
Lineage: Eukaryota; Viridiplantae; Streptophyta; Magnoliopsida; Poales; Poaceae
Exons: 2
Source: RefSeq, a predicted model, not a curated record